GAGAAAGUGACAUUUGUACCAGACCUUGGAGGAUGAGGUCAGUAGGCAGAGAGGGGCUGAUGGCUAUUCCUAACAAAGAAUGCAACUCCAUCAAAAAAUAUAUGGAAGUCUAAGAUCUGGUUGGGCAAGUAUGAGCAGUGGUGUGGAGCUCAGCACAGGAGACUGAGAGGGGCCAGAAAGCCAUUUUUGAAGCACCUUGAGAGCCAUUGAAACUCCUGAGGCAGCUGUGGCCUUGGGUGCCCUGCAUAAGUGAUCUUUGACAGCUGGUCAUUAAGCUCCUGUUCAUCCUGAAUGCCUCUGGGCAGAUUCCCUCCAUUCAGACCUCCCCCUGUCCAGGAGGCCUGCCUUGGUCACCCUCCUCCCUUCUCCCCACGUGAGAAGAGAAGCUAUUUGGUUAAGUUGUCUUCUCUGAGACCUGUCAGGAAGAGGAAACACAUUAACCCCAGCAAGACAGCGUGGCGCUUUUCCAAAAUGCUUUGAUUCUUCUACACAAAUGGGAUUAGAACAAAUAAAUUUUGGGAAGCAAGCUUCUACCAUUAUGUAAAUUUAAUUUCUCUUAUUUUGUCCCUUAUGUUUUAGAUUGCUGUAUUUUAUAGGAGCUGAGUCUGAGACAUUUUAAAAACUCUUAGAGAACAGGCAUCCAUUCCAUCUGCUUUAUUGAGUCCAUACAGUGUGCCAAGCAGGGGACAGAAGACCAGUCAGAGUCUGAGGAGGAACCCAGGUAGCUAAGAGAAGAAAUAGAUGAGUCAUUUUUUAUCUAUGAUAAUUCUAAGAGGUGAAGGGGACAGAGGCCAGCAGAGAACACAGAUGCAGCCGUGGUAAAGACGUUCAUCUGGUCACCCGCACCACCAGGCCCCUCUCUGGCCCCAGCUUCCUGGGCACAGAAUGUUGGGUCCCUUCCCAAGAGCUCUGCGUGUCCUUCAUCACUGGCUGUUCAUUGGAUGCCAGCAUAGCUACAGGACAGCCAGUCUCUGUAAAGCCCAGAGUCCUGGGGAGGUGGACUGUGCAAUGGAGCCUAAGUGGUUCUUCAUGGGGCCGGUCGGAAAGACAGCACAUACAACCAGGGACAAAUUGGUCACUGUGCUCAGUGGAGCAGGCAGACAACAGCAGGUGAGCACAGGAGGCCCCACUGAACGUAGUAGGUCAGUUUGAGGGAAGGUAAAGGUCCGUG
RNAcentral lists this long non-coding RNA (1171 nucleotides) under Chinchilla lanigera (long-tailed chinchilla). Its description in RNAcentral is "lncRNA (ENSCLAG00000026784.1)". Lineage: Eukaryota; Metazoa; Chordata; Mammalia; Rodentia; Chinchillidae. The record is from RNAcentral.